CACAUUCAAAGAGUGCGUAAUAGCUCACUAGUCGAGAGGUCCUGCGCCGAAAAUUUCCGGGGCUAAAACACGAUACCGAAGCUUAGGAAUGUAGCAAUACAUUGGUAGAGGAGCAAUCUCAGAGUGCCGAAGCGCUACCGCAAGGAAGCGUGGAGUUCUGAGAAGAGAGAAUGCCGGAAUGAGUAGCGAGAAUGAUGUGAGAAUCAUCAUGGCCGAAUAUCCAAGGAUUCCAGGGUAAAGCUGAUCUGCCCUGGGUAAGUCGGGACCUAAGGCGAGGGAGAGAUCCGUAGUCGAUGGACAGCAGGUUCAUAUUCCUGCACCUGACAUGAUCAGAACUGUGGGGACACAGGAACAAAACCGGACCCGGGAGAGCAAAGACCGGGCGAAGCGAAGCUAGGAGUGCGGUAGGCAAAUCCGCCGCACAAUCCGAAAGCGUGACAGGGAGCGAAAUAUAAGUAGCGAAGCCGGUGGAGGGACUGUCGAGAAAAGCCGCUAUUGUAUCAUGUCAGCCCGUACCGCAAACCGACACAGGUGGAUGAGGAGAGAAUCCUAAGGCCGGCGGGAGAAGCAUUGUUAAGGAACUCGGCAAAAUGACCCCGUAACUUCGGGAGAAGGGGUGCCCAGGCAACUGGGCCGCAGAGAAAAGGCUCAAGCAACUGUUUAGCAAAAACACAGGUCUAUGCGAAACCGUAAGGUAAAGUAUAUGGGCUGACGCCUGCCCGGUGCUGGAAGGUUAAGAGGAGAGGUUAGCGCAAGCGAAGCUUUGAAUUGAAGCCCCAGUAAACGGCGGCCGUAACUAUAACGGUCCUAAGGUAGCGAAAUUCCUUGUCGGGUAAGUUCCGACCCGCACGAAAGGCGUAAUGAUUUGAGCGCUGUCUCAACAAUGCACCCGGUGAAAUUGAAGUACCAGUGAAGAUGCUGGUUACCCGCGCCAGGACGGAAAGACCCCAUGGAGCUUUACUCCAGCUUGAUACUGGGAUUCGGUAAUGUAUGCACAGGAUAGGUGGGAGACUGAGAGGAUAGUACUUCGGUAUUAUCGGAGUCGCUGUUGGGAUACCACCCUUAUGUUAUUGGAUUUCUAACCUUAGGCCGUAAGCCGGUCAAGGGACAAUGUCAGGUGGGGAGUUUGACUGGGGCGGUCGCCUCCGAAAGUGUAUCGGAGGCGCUCAAAGGUUCCCUCAGGAUGGUUGGAAACCAUCCAAAGAGUGUAAAGGCAUAAGGGAGCCUGACUGCGAGGCUGACGGGCCAAGCAGAGUAGAAAUACGGACUUAGUGAUCCGGUGGUAUGAAAGUGGGAUUGCCAUCGCUCAACGGAUAAAAGCUACCCUGGGGAUAACAGGCUGAUCUCCCCCAAGAGUUCACAUCGACGGGGAGGUUUGGCACCUCGAUGUCGGCUCAUCGCAUCCUGGGGCUGAAGUCGGUCCCAAGGGUUGGGCUGUUCGCCCAUUAAAGCGGUACGCGAGCUGGGUUCAGAACGUCGUGAGACAGUUCGGUCCCUAUCCGGCGCGGGCGUAGGAUAUUUGAGAGGAUCUGUCCUUAGUACGAGAGGACCGGGAUGGACUGACCUCUGCUGAACCUGUUGGGAAUCAAUCCCAUCGCAGGGUAGGCAAGUUGGGAAUGGAUAAACGCUGAAGGCAUCUAAGCGUGAAGCCAACCUCAAGAUGAGAUAUCCCAUCGUAAGAGUAAGACCCCUUGAAGAGAACGAGGUAGAUAGGGCUGAGGUGUAAGUGCUGCAAAGCAUUCAGCUGACAGCUACUAAUAGGUCGAGGGCUUAUCCAA
This 1778-nucleotide ribosomal RNA is filed under the name human oral metagenome. RNAcentral's name for it is "bacterial LSU rRNA". It matches the Rfam family "Bacterial large subunit ribosomal RNA", at positions 1118 to 2925 of the family's 2925-position model. The record is from RNAcentral.